Oryctolagus cuniculus (rabbit) is the source of this 128-nucleotide small nuclear RNA. Its record names the gene U2. It matches the Rfam family "U2 spliceosomal RNA". Rfam says of the family: U2 is a small nuclear RNA (snRNA) component of the spliceosome (involved in pre-mRNA splicing). Complementary binding between U2 snRNA (in an area lying towards the 5' end but 3' to hairpin I) and the branchpoint sequence (BPS) of the intron results the bulging out of an unpaired adenosine, on the BPS, which initiates a nucleophilic attack at the intronic 5' splice site, thus starting the first of two transesterification reactions that mediate splicing. The record is from Ensembl. NCBI's taxonomy places the organism in Eukaryota, Metazoa, Chordata, Mammalia, Lagomorpha, Leporidae.
AUCGCUUCUCGGCCUUUUGGCUAAGAUCAAGUAUAGUUUAUCAUACUCUAUUGAUCCAGUAAAAGUUCCAUAGGAAUUCCUAAUUAAAGGUCACUUAGGUAUUUUGCUUUUAAAUAUACUUACGUUGA